This is a long non-coding RNA of Triticum dicoccoides, 1398 nucleotides long. RefSeq lists it as uncharacterized. NCBI's taxonomy places the organism in Eukaryota, Viridiplantae, Streptophyta, Magnoliopsida, Poales, Poaceae. The record is from RefSeq and is a predicted model, not a curated record. The transcript is spliced from 8 exons.
UCACCGCGGCUUCCUCCCGGCUCCUCGUCCGCGGCCUCGACGGCGCCCUCCUCUUCCCUACCUCGAGGGCACGGAGAUGCUGACGGAGAAGCCCGGCUGGGUUCGCCAUGACGGCCUGCAGAUCUUCUCCAUCAACAUCCAGCCGAGCGGCCUCCGCUUCGCCACGGGAGGUGGUGACCAGAAGUACUAGGAACCUGUUAUUUGGUGGCACUCUUUGGUCAAGCUUGAAAUUUUUUGGGGCUCAAGCCUACCGUUCUUAUGAUGGUAACUGGGCCAUUUUUCUUACUAAUGGAAGAGUAGGAGGCAGAGAGGGAGAUGGGGUGGUAAGAAGAGAGGGUGAGGAAGGAGGAAGAGGAGAUCCUCCCGGCACUCAUGGUGGUCACCCAGAUUCCAGCGGGGAUGGCAGUCCAACAUGCUCUGUGUUGUUCUAAAGGGGAACCAUGCCCAUGCGACGGUACCGAACAAAGUUGUGCACGUGGUCAUGGACACUCUACGCGAAAGAAAUUUGUAUAAAUAUACAAUGCUCUUUUUGAAGACUCCUGGGAUGAUAUUGGAAGGAACUCGAGCGGAAGGCCGCCGGACAUGGAAGAAAUGAGCCCAAGCCCAAUCAAUUGGAUGCUUCAGUGGAUUUGAAUGGGGUUCAUUGUAGGCGAGUGCUUGAAUUGUGGCCUCACAUGCAUCAUUAGCUUCCCUUAUCCCACACAAGUAUUCUUCGUGAGAACUAUGCUUAGAUAGCUGAAUGUAUUAUUGUGAACUACUGAACCUUUGCACUUUUGUUGUAACAUACUGAACAUUUGCACCAUUGCUUUUCAUUGUAUAAAUGUAUGAAAUAAAAAAAAUGUCUCAUACCAGGUUGGAUAUUGCGGGGGCGGGUGGGGUGCGGCAAAGAUUAAUAUGCAUAAAGUGUGAGGAACCAUGUGCUAUAAUGCACCAAUGCUGCUUUCGGAUGACGACGACAAUGCCAAACGCACCAUCACCUGAGAUGAUUGGUGGGCAGAAUUAAAGAGGGAUUACCAAGUAAGGAAAUACACCUGAGCAAGCAGUUAGACCCAAGCGGAGUUUUAAAAUCAAAACGGGGCAAUUCUCUACUGUGACAAAGUGAAGAGAAAACUGAUGCAUCAAAUUAAUACAGAAAUUCAGUUCAUAUGAAGCAGAAGAAAGGCAUACAGUACCUUACAUUGACAGUGAUUGUUAGCCCAUUGUGGUACUUCAAAUCUGAUAAAGAAUAUAUUUCAUGACCGAGACAUGACAUUUGGAGAAUCUCAGUUCUAAUAUCUACAUGAAUCAACUUUUAUUUUGUCAUGCUACUGAAUGUUCUGAUAUGGGACUAUCUAUUCUGUGUAUCUCUUAUAAGUAAUAAUGAAAUGAUCUAUAUAUAAAGUUUUCCUAUUUUGAUUA